CAAGGUCAUGCAUGAUUAAUUCAAAAUAAUGGGAAUGAAUAUGCAUUACACUUGAUAAAGUAAUUUGAAUGCUAAAGGAUUACAUCAUUUAUUGAGUGAAUAUA
Molecule: long non-coding RNA, 104 nt
Organism: Octopus sinensis (East Asian common octopus)
Lineage: Eukaryota; Metazoa; Mollusca; Cephalopoda; Octopoda; Octopodidae
Exons: 3
Source: RefSeq, a predicted model, not a curated record